CCCUUAGAGUUUGAUCAUGGCUCAGAACGAACGCUGGCGGCAUGCCUAACACAUGCAAGUCGAACGAGAUCUUCGGGUCUAGUGGCGCACGGGUGCGUAACGCGUGGGAAUCUGCCCUUUGGUUCGGAAUAACAGUUGGAAACGACUGCUAAUACCGGAUGAUGACGAAAGUCCAAAGAUUUAUCGCCAGAGGAUGAGCCCGCGUAGGAUUAGCUAGUUGGUGUGGUAAAGGCGCACCAAGGCGACGAUCCUUAGCUGGUCUGAGAGGAUGAUCAGCCACACUGGGACUGAGACACGGCCCAGACUCCUACGGGAGGCAGCAGUGGGGAAUAUUGGACAAUGGGCGAAAGCCUGAUCCAGCAAUGCCGCGUGAGUGAUGAAGGCCUUAGGGUUGUAAAGCUCUUUUACCCGGGAUGAUAAUGACAGUACCGGGAGAAUAAGCUCCGGCUAACUCCGUGCCAGCAGCCGCGGUAAUACGGAGGGAGCUAGCGUUGUUCGGAAUUACUGGGCGUAAAGCGCACGUAGGCGGCUUUGUAAGUUAGAGGUGAAAGCCUGGAGCUCAACUCCAGAACUGCCUUUAAGACUGCAUCGCUUGAAUCCAGGAGAGGUGAGUGGAAUUCCGAGUGUAGAGGUGAAAUUCGUAGAUAUUCGGAAGAACACCAGUGGCGAAGGCGGCUCA
Molecule: ribosomal RNA, 679 nt
Filed under: uncultured bacterium
Lineage: Bacteria
Description: bacterial SSU rRNA
Rfam family: Bacterial small subunit ribosomal RNA
Source: RNAcentral